Phyllostomus discolor (pale spear-nosed bat) is the source of this 336-nucleotide long non-coding RNA. RefSeq lists it as uncharacterized. Lineage: Eukaryota; Metazoa; Chordata; Mammalia; Chiroptera; Phyllostomidae. The transcript has 2 exons. The record is from RefSeq and is a predicted model, not a curated record.
UGGAGCUGGCCUCAGGACUGCAGGCUAGAGGACCAGGCUGGGGCCUUGGAAGUCACUGGCAAACUAUCUGUGACGUCCCACUCUUCUAUGUGUUGUCUUCCUUCGCCCUGUGUCUUCAGCUCUUCUGCCACCCAAGGAGGUUGGGCCCACUGUCCCAAAUUUCAUUUGAAAACCCCUAGAGGAGAGCUCUUGUGGCUCUCCUGGGCAGGGCUCCCAUUCCUGGGCCUGGCAGUCAGGCUCAGGUGGCUGAGAAGGUAGUGGACAUUCAGACUGAACUGAACGUGCUCACCAUCCUUCAAAAUAAGGAGAGGGUCAGGUUGGAGAAACUGGCAAAAA